Molecule: unclassified non-coding RNA, 1454 nt
Filed under: Leishmania donovani
Lineage: Eukaryota; Euglenozoa; Kinetoplastea; Trypanosomatida; Trypanosomatidae
Description: gene:LdHU3.35.4200(CDS-product:hypothetical_prote in)
Source: RNAcentral
ACGUGGCCCUGCAACUCCAAGCGAGGACGACGCAGCACACCUCAACGCGCUUUUCACGACUAAUACACAUCGAGAACAGGAUCGGCCGGUCCCUCUUUUUUGUUUCUUUUUGUUUUCUGUGUUUCCUUCCACUACGCAUGCGCGUGCGUGUGCCCCCGUGAGUGUGCCGGCGCGCGAGAGGAUCGCGAGGACUGCGGCGCUUCCUUGGACGACAGCACCAGCGCCUGAGCAACAAAGCGCACGCAGUGGCGAUGUUUCGCUCGUGGGGAGAGCUGACGAGCUGUGCUAGUGAGGUGUUCGACCUCUUCGCUGAGCCUUUGCCAGCGGCUUCCGGCGCGAAUGGCGCCGCGCCAUCGCAGGAUGUCGCUACCACUGCAGACGUCGGCCUGAGCCGAGUGGGGCUAGAAUGCGCCUUCUACGUCUUGUUUGGACGCUACCCCACUCCGUCGCUGAUUGCAGACUGCUUUAAAACGCUAUCGCCGUCAGCGUCACCUGCGCACCGCGCCUCCUCUGCACCGCCGCAGCAGCCAGCUCGUGACGCGCAUGGAAACACAGUUGCACAUUUGAAAUCGAGCUCUUCUUUCGCUCACUCUGACAGCGGGCGGUCGUCUCGCACAGGCGUCAAUGGCUUUAUGACGCGCUCCGCCUAUCUGCGCUUCGUCACGCUGUGCGCCGAAGAGGAGGGAGACGGGUUUGUCACGGAGCAGCCGCAAGGGGAUGCGGCUGCUAGUGUUACCGCCACUGCAUCGUGUGUGGACGGUAGGAAAGUGGCGCAGCUGCAGUGGUGGCGGCAGUUUCAAAGUGUCGCGGGCCCCAAAGGCUUCAUUGCUGCUGACGACCUUCUUGGCAUUCACCUCCAGGGCCCAUUCGCGGAUGUGCAAGAGGUGCUUGCGGUCCAUUCCCCGAUGUGUACAAGUGACUUUUCGACUGCAUCUCCGCGGAAUACGUCCGGUUCGCGGCAGGCACCUCUUGUGCAGCACAUCUUCUGGAUUCUGGACCGCGAUCACGACGGCAGCGUGCGCUUCGAGGACGUGCAACCAUACUUGCAGGAGCGCUGAGCGAGAGGAAGAUAGCACAGGCAAGCGGUGUACACGGGGCUCAGAGGGAAGGCAAAACGACGCGUGAGGGGCGCUGUGUGACGUCUACUACCUGCCUUUCUCGCCUCGUCUGUGCUGCUUCUGUUACGCACGUGCUCGCUGCUAUCGCACGCCAGAGGUGGCGGUGGAGAAUGCUUGUGUGGGGGAAGAAAACGAGCGACGAGCGCCAUACACGCGUAGUCAGGGACUGCUUGAAGCACUGCGCUACGCUUGGGGUGAAGUGCUCAAUUCUGCAAGUGUGGGCACAAACUGGCGACGGGCGACGUGCGCCCUGGGGCAAUGUGCAUGGAAAGAGGGAGAAGAGCUGCGGAACGCCUUUUUGUGUGUGACGCGUGCACUCCUGGUGACGCUUCGGCG